Molecule: ribosomal RNA, 473 nt
Filed under: uncultured bacterium
Lineage: Bacteria
Description: bacterial SSU rRNA
Rfam family: Bacterial small subunit ribosomal RNA
Source: RNAcentral
AUUGAACGCUGGCGGCAUGCCUUACACAUGCAAGUCGAACGGCAGCAUGGAAGAGCUUGCUCUUCUGAUGGCGAGUGGCGAACGGGUGAGUAAAGCAUCGGAACGUACCGUGUAGUGGGGGAUAACGUAGCGAAAGUUACGCUAAUACCGCAUACGCACUGAGGUGGAAAGCAGGGGAUCGCAAGACCUUGCGCUAUACGAGCGGCCGAUGUCAGAUUAGCUAGUUGGUGGGGUAAAGGCUCACCAAGCCGACGAUCUGUAGCUGGUCUGAGAGGACGACCAGCCACACUGGGGCUGAGACACGGCCCAGACUCCUACGGGAGGCAGCAGUGGGGAAUUUUGGACAAUGGGCGCAAGCCUGAUCCAGCAAUGCCGCGUGCAGGAAGAAGGCCUUCGGGUUGUAAACUGCUUUGUACGGUAACGAAACGGCUCUGGUUAAUACCUGGGCGUAAUGACGGUACCGUAAGAAUAAG